Molecule: long non-coding RNA, 244 nt
Filed under: Bos taurus (domestic cattle)
Lineage: Eukaryota; Metazoa; Chordata; Mammalia; Artiodactyla; Bovidae
Description: long non-coding RNA NONBTAT017409
Source: RNAcentral
AUCUUCUUCUUCCUGGGUUUCAUAUUUGUGACCUGAGCCUAUUUGUGUUUGGAGGGAAAAAUGAUUUUCCUUAGAUUCUUCAGACUGGGGAGAGAGCAUACUGAACUGAGAAAUUAUCAUCCCUUCCAAUAGCUCAUUAACUAUAGUAAUGUUAGAGCAGGGGAGACAACACUUCAUCUCCUUUCCUAGGCCCAUGGGAACUUUGCAGUCAUUUUGGGGAGCCAUUGUUUAAAAACAAAUUGAG